Delphinapterus leucas (beluga whale) is the source of this 3597-nucleotide non-coding RNA. The record is from RefSeq and is a predicted model, not a curated record. NCBI's taxonomy places the organism in Eukaryota, Metazoa, Chordata, Mammalia, Artiodactyla, Monodontidae.
UCAGGUUGUCCGGAUGGUUGAAGGGAGAGGGCGGGGAAGCCAGUUAAGGGGGCCAAAGCAGGUGCCCAUGGAGACAGAGCCGGGCCUGCCCUGAAGUCUCUGCUGCUUCCUGCUCUCUGGAGAGCCUUCUGUUCCCCAGGUCCAUGUGUCAGCCAUGCGCCCCACGGACGAGCCCCCGUCCCACCUGGGCCCCUCACUGCUGCUGUUGCUGCAGCUGCUGGGCCCCGCAGCUGCCUUCUUCCCCAAUAUCUGGAGCCUCCUGGCUGCCCCCGGCUCCAUCACCCACCAGGACCUGACCGAGGAGGCGGCACUCAACGUCACCCUGCAGCUCUUCCUGGAGCAGCCGCCCCCAGGUCGGCCCCCCCUUCGCCUUGAGGACUUCCUGGGCCGCACUCUCCUUGCCGACAACCUCUUUGCCGCCUACUUCGGACCUGGGUCUCCUUCCCGGCGGUUCCGAGCAGCCUUAGGAGAGGUGUCUCGUGCCAACGCCGCCCAGGACUUCCUGCCGACUUCCAGGAAUGACCCUGACUUGCACUUUGAUGCCGAGCGGCUGGGCCAGGGGCGCGCACGCCUGGUGGGAGCUCUAGGGGAGACUGUGGUGGCGGCCAGAGCCCUUGACCACAGCCUGGCCCGCCAGCGCCUCGGGGCUGCGCUUCAUGCCUUGCAGGAUUUCUACAGUCACAGCAACUGGGUGGAACUGGGGAAGCAGCAGCCACACCCUCACCUCCUCUGGCCAAGGCAGGGGCUGCGGAACCUGGCGCAAGUGGGCGAUCCUACCUGCUCCGACUGUGACGAGUGGAGCUGCCCUGGGAAUUUGCUGGGCUUCACACUCCUCACCUCUGGCUACUUUGGAACUCAUACCUCCAAACCUCCAGGGAAAUGUAGCCAUGGGGGCCAUUUUGACCAGAGCAGCUCCCAGCCACCACGGGGAGGCAUCAACAAGGAUAGCACAUCCCCAGGCUUCUCCCCACACCACAUGCUGCACCUCCAGGCUGCAAACCUGGCCCUUCUGGCCUCCAUCCAGGCCUUCAGCCUCCUACGAAGCCGCCUGGGAGACAGGGGUUUCUCCAGGCUGCUGGACAUCACCCCAGCCUCCAGCCUGAGCUUCGUCCUGGAUACCACAGGAAGUAUGGGCGAGGAGAUCAAUGCUGCCAAAAUCCAGGCUCGCCACAUUGUGGAGCAGCGACGGGGCGGCCCCAUGGAGCCCACCCACUAUGUCCUGGUGCCUUUCCAUGACCCAGGGUUUGGCCCCGUCUUUACAACCAGUGACCCUGACAGCUUCUGGCAACAACUCAAUGAAAUACAUGCCUUGGGAGGUGGAGAUGAGCCCGAGAUGUGCCUGUCAGCCCUGGAGCUGGCCCUGCUACACACACCUCCACUCUCAGACAUCUUCGUCUUCACUGACGCCUCCCCCAAGGAUGCCUUUCUCACCAACCGGGUGGAAUCUCUGACUCAGGAGCGGCGUUGCAGAGUCACAUUCCUGUUGACUGAAGACCCAUCUAGGGUUCAGGGCCGACCUCGGCGUGAGGUCUUGUCCCCUCUGCGUUUUGAGCCGUAUGAAGCGGUGGCGCUGGCCUCAGGAGGAGAGGUGAUCUUCACCAAAGACCAGUACAUUCAGGAUGUGGCAGCCAUUGUUGGGGACAGCGUAGCUGACCUGGUGACCCUUCCCUUGGAGCCUCCUGUUGUGGUGCCUGAGAGGCCACUUGUGUUCAGUGUGGAUGGGCUGCUCCAGAGGGUCACAGUCCGGAUCCAUGGGGAGCUCAGCAGCUUCUGGAUCAGAAACCCUGCAGGGGUCUCCCAGGGCCAGGAGGAAGGUGAGGGGCCUCUAGGUCAUACUCGCCGCUUCGGGCAGUUCUGGAUGGUGCGCAUGAAUGACCCCCUGCAGACAGGAACCUGGGAGAUCCAGGUCACAGCCAAGGGUACCCCCCGGGUGAGAGUACAAGCCCAGACCUCCCUGGAUUUCCUCUUCCACUUUGGGAUCCCCAUGAAGGAUGGACCCCACCCUGGCCUCUACCCCCUGACUCAACCAGUUGCAGGUCUCCAUUCCCAGCUGCUGGUAGAAGUGACAGGGCUGGGCUCCAGAGGAAACCCUGGAGAUCCUCUGCCGCAUUUCUCCCACGUCGUCCUUCGAGGGGUCCCGCACGGUGCCGAGCUGGGCCGGGUGCCUUUGGAGCCCAUGGGACCCCGGGAGCGAGGUCUCCUCGUUGCCUCGCUACCGCCCACGCUUCUGUCCACCGCGGGACCCUUCUCUCUGGAGCUGAUUGGCCAGGACGGAGUGGGGCAGGGCCUGCACCGGGUGGCCCCCCAGCCCUGUGCUGUAGUUCCUGUCCUUCUAGAGGUGAGAUGCCAGCGGAAGGUGCGGCUGCGGCUGGAGAGAACAGGGCCUGCUGCUCCUCCCCUGACCGGCCCUCCUCCGCAGCUCAGUGGUCCCCCGGGUUUCCUGGCGCCGGGCACCGAGGCCCCGCUCAGCCUCCGCAUUGCCAGCUUCUCGGGCCCUCAGGAUCUCGAUCUUAGGACAUCCGUCAACCCCAGCUUCGCUCUCACCUCCAACCUCUCCAGGGUUCGCCUGGAACAGAAUGAGUCCGCCUGGGGGUGCCUGUGGCUGAAGGUACCAGACACAGCCGCCUCAGACUCCGUGGUGAUGGUGACUGUGACCGCGAUGAAUCGAGAAGCCAGCACAGUACCCUCGACCCAUGCCUUCCUCCGGCUCCUGGUGCGGGGCCCCACCCCGCAGUGUUAUUGAGACACAGAAUCUCCAGUAUGGAAGAAUAUUGAAGAGGAUAAAAAUGGAAUAUACAAGUUCCUAGGUCUGUCCACAGAAAAGGCCUACAAGCAAUAAUCCAAACAUGCUGAGUACCCUCUAGCACUCACUGUGGUAUACAGAAAUACCAUUUCUCACUAAAAGGAACCAGGGCUCCUCAGAGAAAUGUCUGGUUCCAGGUCAGAACCAGUACGUGUAAGUGGUAUAUCUGGUACAUCUUGUCAAACCAGAGAGUGGGGAAGCUAUCCAAGUCUACUAGUGUCAUGUUAAAGGACUCAGAAGCCAACAUGAAGAGGCUCCCAUUGGCUAAAGAUGGAAUAUCUCGAACAUGUGUAAAGAUUAAAAAUGCAGUGGCCUGAAGCAUGAAGAAAUCUGUAAGUUUGUAAUGAUACUAAAACAACAACAGCAACCAAAAAAACUCAUUGGUUGCCUUGGUGGAUUAUGGAACUAAUUUCGUAUUUGCUGAUAGGUGGACAGAUAAAAUCAGGGGGAAAAAAUCAAGCAAUGUUCUGUGAUAUCACUAGGUAACCAAAGAGUAGAUGAGAGGAAGUCUUCCUUCCAGAAACAUUCUAAUAAAUGAAGAAAGAAUGACAGAAUUAGAAUAACACUACUUUGCAAUCUCUAAAGAACUAAUGGACUUAAACAUUAAACAUCAAAUACUGCUAUCAUCACAAAAGGAGAGUCAGACAUACUGACAUUAUGUUCCUCCAUUUAUGAAACACUAUUGAAAAAAAUUAAACUUGAACCUGAGCAAGCUUCUAGAUUCAACUAUUAAUUUACAGAAAUUCUAGAAGAGAGAGAAACAUGUCAAAAACAGGGAAUGUGGGCUUCCCUGG